UUUCCUUAGCCUACAAUUGUUGCAGGCCUCGCUAGAAUUUCGGCGUCUUCUGAAAAGUUGUGUUGUUUCAAAGCAUCCUUCAAUAGCCUGCUUAUUGCAUCCCGGAAAUCUAAAACGGUGUUUCUUCCAUCAGUUUGCUCUUAAAGAGUCUCUUUGUAAUGUUCUAGCAAGACAUUGAUUAACCUGGUUUUAUUUAUAGUUUUCUUAACUCCAAUAUCUUCAAGCCUCUUGAUGUACAACGACAGCUCAGAAAGUUUAAACAUAUGAGUUCCUUUUUUAAUAGCUACAUUCUUCUAUGUACUCGAUAAGCUCGAUAAAUGCUAUUGACUUGUUCAUUUUUCAUCAUCACAUUUGUCAAUUUAUAACAGCACAUUCCUCAUUAGGGAUGGGUAUCGUUUGGUUUUUAUCCGAUACCAGUACAUAACCGAUACUUUUAAAACGAUACCGGUGCCUAAACGGUGCCGGAACCGAUACUUUUAUAAAAAAUAAAAAAAUGUUUACGAUUGACGACAUUUAAGAAAGGCUUUAUUGCCAAAUAUAUGAACUGUUUAAAGUAGAUUAUAUAUAUAAAUAAAUACAAAACACCUUUUAACUUAAAACUUAAAUAAUAUAUGCUGUUAACAAAAGUUUAGACUAUACUUAAAUAAAUACAAAUAAAUACAAAACACACACACACACACUUUGUACACACACUACAGCUUCAAUACUUCAGCAAUUAUUUUGUUCAAUUCAAUUUUUUUUCUUCAAAUUGAACAAUAUAUUAACUGUUUAAAGUAUAUUAUAAAUAUAAAUACAUACAAAACACUUGGCUUCAAACUUUUUAACUUCAAACUAUGAACAUUAUAUUAACUGUAAACAACAGUUUAUAGUAUACUUAAAUAAAUAUAAAUAAAUACAAAAAACAGCUUCAAACUUCUUUUGCAAAAAUAUGAGCAUAUUUGCCUUUUGGAGUCAAAAUUGUAUUAUUUUGUUUGCAUUUAUUUCAUGAAAUUUCACCAUUUUAUGAUUUGUUUAUACCUAUCUUUUCUAUCUUGUUUAUAGUUAAUCUUGUUACUUGAACACACUGUGUACGAGAAAAUGUGUACUGCCCCUUUAAGAGACUACCGUAGGUUAAGUAUAGCUGUCAUCUCCGUUUAUUUUUCAGUCUUCGGUUGCUGAUCUGCCGUUGACUCUUGCCUUCUCUCCCCUCUUUUCACGCAAUUGUUUUGUUGCAUUUGCUGCACGUCGCGAUGUUUGAAUAUUUUAGUGCGAAAUACAGCCACACUUUUGACCGUUUACCUUUCGGUAUUUUCUCUGUUAAAAGGUUGAUGGCUAGUUCUGUUUGUGCUUGCUCUGAAAUGCUGCAUGCUCUUCACUGUCAUAAGACUGUUGCUAUGAAAACACCAAUGAGCGUGAGCGACACAGGACAAAGUUUACAUUGGGAGCUGGGGCAGUUUUACAUGUGCCCCGCGGAAUCUGCCUAGCAACCGUUUUCAAUUGGCUCAGGCACCGAAAUGAAGCACCGAAAUCUGCGUUGCAUUUCGGUCCAGGUAGGUACCGGUUGU
This is a long non-coding RNA of Clupea harengus (Atlantic herring), 1544 nucleotides long. NCBI's taxonomy places the organism in Eukaryota, Metazoa, Chordata, Actinopteri, Clupeiformes, Clupeidae. The record is from Ensembl.